GAUGAACGCUGGCGGCGUGCCUAAAACAUGCAAGUCGAGCGGCAGCGAGUUCCUCGCUAAUGUUCGGAUUUGUUUACCAAUGAUGCAAGUAAUUUAGUCAGAGUAACAAAGUAACGACUAGUUGUUUAAGUUAAAAGGUAGAUUUAAUAUUCCGGAUAUGAGCGAGGAAUGUCGGCGAGCGGCGGACGGCUGAGUAGCGCGUAGGAACAUACCCCAAAGUGAGGCAUAACCGCCCGAAAGGGUGGCUAAUACCGCAUAUUGUCUUCGGAUGAAAGCUUUAGCGCUUUGGGAAUGGCCUGCGUUUGAUUAGCUAGUUGGUGAGGUAAGGGCUUACCAAGGCGAUGAUCAAUAGCUGGUUUGAGAGAAUGAUCAGCCAGACUGGAACUGAGACACGGUCCAGACUCCUACGGGAGGCAGCAGUUGGGAAUUUUCCACAAUGGGCGAAAGCCUGAUGGAGCAACGCCGCGUGCAGGAAGAAUGCCUUCGGGUUGUAAA
RNAcentral lists this ribosomal RNA (495 nucleotides) under uncultured bacterium. RNAcentral describes it as "bacterial SSU rRNA". It matches the Rfam family "Bacterial small subunit ribosomal RNA", at positions 28 to 429 of the family's 1533-position model. The record is from RNAcentral.